Molecule: ribosomal RNA, 511 nt
Filed under: Pirodrilus minutus
Lineage: Eukaryota; Metazoa; Annelida; Clitellata; Tubificida; Naididae
Description: partial 16S ribosomal RNA
Rfam family: Bacterial large subunit ribosomal RNA
Source: RNAcentral
GCCUNGUUUAUCAAAAACAUUGAACGGUGAAAAUAUAAGUAGUACCCUGCCAGUGAUCUUUAAACGGCCGCAGUAUCCUAACUGUGCGAAGGUAGCAUAAUCACUUGCCUAUUAAUUGUAGGCUAGAAUGAAGGGGCAAACGAAAUUAUUACUGUCUCUAAUAGGCUUAUAAAAAUUAAUCUAGGAAGCGAAGAAGCUCCUAUAACCUCGCAGGACAAGAAGACCCUAUAGAGCUUUAUUAAACCUCUUUAAAUAAAAGAUAUUAAUUCGGUUGGGGCGACCUAGGAUAACUUAAAACAACCUAAAAUAAAUCGAUAUACAUAUCUAAUUCUAGACCCGCAUACGCGAUCAACGGAACAAGCUACCUUAGGGAUAACAGGCUAAUUAUCUUUAAGAGCUCAUAUCUACAAGAUAGAUUGGCACCUCGAUGUUGGCUUAGAAUUACUUCAUAGUGCAGAAGCUAUGAUAGGCGGUUUGUUCAACCAUUAAUAUUCUACGUGAUCUGAGUUCA